AGAGAACCAGGCGCUGGUGAGCUGGCUGGGAGCUCGGAGUAUAAUAUCCUUCACGGCCACCAUGGAGGACCAGCAUGGUGGUCUUCUCAGCUGUAGCACCACUGCCAACAGCUGCCGGAUCCCCAGCCUCAAGUGUGGCCAGGUUUAUGACAUUAGUGUCAUUUACCAUGAUGGAAUCUGUCCCAGUAUGCCUUCCAACGCCAUACAAAUGGAGUCUGUACCAUGUGGUCCAACAAAUGUUCAGGCUGAGGUGCAGUGCCCCUCGGGUGUUAUCUCACUCAGCUGGGACAGAACAGAAGAUGCUGAGGGUUAUAUCGCCACUAUAGUUUCCAAGACCUCUGGAGAGCUGGUUUACUGCAACUCUACCUUGCCUUCCUGUAACGUGAGCAAUCUGCAGUGUGGUGAUUCAUACUCUGUACAGAUCAAAUCAUACAACGGCUCCUGUGUGAGCAUGCCGAGUUCACCUCUAGUGGUUAGAGAGGGUGAGGCACUGAUUCAUUCACUAAACAUUAGUUUCAUAUCACUUGACUUCCGUGCAGCUGUUGGAGUGUUAUGCUAAUUCUUUCGACUCUGCCCCGCUAGUGCCUUGUGUGCCCACUAAUGUGACAGCCAGACGAACCUGUGGCAGCAGCACAGUGGAGCUAUCGUGGAGUGCAAGCCGUGGUGCUCAGUCCUACGUUGCUGUUGCUGUAGGUGAUGACGGGCACCGUACAAAGUGCUCCUCCAACACAACAACAUGUAGUGUUGACCUUGACUGUAGCAGUGUAUACUCCAUCAGCGUGAUGGCUGUAGAUGGUAAUUGCUCCACCUGGGAGAGUCAGAAGGUUACCCUGCACACAGGUGAGGCUAUCUGGGUAGUAAUGUCUGAUUUUCAAACAAAUUGAUCUUUCGAAGCAGUGUUGUUUUUGUUAACUGAAAAUAAAAUGAACAGCUGUCAUUAAUUGAAAUAAAGGUGAAUAUUAAAAUUAAAUUUUUGUCUAAAGAGACACUGACCCACUCUCUUUCCCCUCUUUUUCAUGUUUAAUAGUUCCCUGCCCACCAGUGAACAUCCAGAGCACUAUGAACUGUAGCACCAACUCUGCCACUCUGUCCUGGACGGCCAGUGCUAACGCAGUGUCCUACAGAGGCAGGGCUUCAGGCAGAGAUGGCCACAAUGUGACGUGUGAUGUCAGAACUCCCGGGUGCCAGUUAAACGGCCUGCACUGUGGACAGGAGUAUGUGUUUGUCGUAACUGCUUCUGAUGGAAGCUGUGAAAGUCCAGACAGCGUCAAGAACAGACAUGAGACAGGUAUCACAAUAUUAAAAGUAAAAAUAAUAAUAGUUAACAUUUUCUUCAGGAAAUCAACAUUAUAAACCCAGAACAUUACAUGAAGUGUCUCUUUCUCUCCUCACCUGUUGAUUUCCAGCACCGUGUGCCCCUCAAAGUGUGUC
This 1431-nucleotide long non-coding RNA is filed under the name Carassius auratus (goldfish). Its description in RNAcentral is "lncRNA (ENSCARG00000031911.1)". The record is from RNAcentral. Lineage: Eukaryota; Metazoa; Chordata; Actinopteri; Cypriniformes; Cyprinidae.